GCCUGCCAGUGACCAUGUGUUCAACGGCCGCGGUAUUCUGACCGCGCGAAGGUAGCGUAAUCACUUGUUUUUUAAAUAAAGACUAGUAUGAACGGCCGCACGAGGACCUAACUGUCUCCUUUGUCCAAUCAGUGAAACUGAUCUCCUCGUGCAGAAGCGAGGAUCUUAUCAUAAGACGAGAAGACCCUAUGGAGCUUUAAACUUUUAUUAAUUAUUUUCUUCACCCCUCUAAGGAGCCAACAACUAAUUUAAUUUUUUUAUAAAAGUUUUGGGUUGGGGCGACCAUGGAGGAAAAAAAAUCCUCCCUGAUGACACCUAACUAAGAGCCACAGCUCCAAAUAUUAAGACACUUAACUCCUAUUGACCCAUUUUAUGAUCAACGAACCAAGUUACCCUAGGGAUAACAGCGCAAUCCAUUUCAAGAGUCCUUAUCGACAAAUGGGUUUACGACCUCGAUGUUGGAUCAGGGCAUCCAAGUGGUGCAACCGCUACUAAAGGUUCGUUUGUUCAACGAUUAAAGCCCUACGUGAUCU
This is a ribosomal RNA of 533 nucleotides. It matches the Rfam family "Bacterial large subunit ribosomal RNA", at positions 1857 to 2606 of the family's 2925-position model.